GUUUGCAGUCCUCUAGAAAGGUCAUUGAUAUAUAUAUGUCUGUGUUCAUACCUCUCCAACAGUGUAAUGGCAAGGGCUGAUUAGAGGGAGCAGCUUUCCAUAACCAAGUAUUUUCACUCAGAGCUCUUGUUUACUGGAAAAAAUAUGAUGAUUGACACUUGAGAAGCUGAUCUGAGUGAAGGAGUCUUUUCAGCAUUCCCUCAAAACCCAAAAGCCUGAUAGCAACACCUCCAAAACUCACUGCACUCCUCUGGUCAGAAUCAAGUAGAAAUAGCUCUGCAGAACUGACAGACUUGGUUCUAAAAUUGAACGCUGUAAUCAGUGAUAAUGAAGGUAAAAGGAACAGAGUGACUGGUGAAUUAAAUCUGUGU
Non-coding RNA from Anas platyrhynchos (mallard), 371 nucleotides. The record is from RefSeq and is a predicted model, not a curated record. Lineage: Eukaryota; Metazoa; Chordata; Aves; Anseriformes; Anatidae.